This 296-nucleotide ribosomal RNA is filed under the name Mycobacterium tuberculosis. RNAcentral describes it as "partial 23S ribosomal RNA". It matches the Rfam family "Bacterial large subunit ribosomal RNA", at positions 99 to 393 of the family's 2925-position model. Lineage: Bacteria; Bacillati; Actinomycetota; Actinomycetes; Mycobacteriales; Mycobacteriaceae. The record is from RNAcentral.
AAGAUCCAAAGAUUUCCGAAUGGGGGAACCCAGCACCUUUCAUAGGGUGUUACCAAUGAGUGAAUACAUAGCUCAUUAGGAGGUACACGCAGGGAACUGAAACAUCUCAUUACCUGCAGGAAGAGAAAGAAAAAUCGAUUCCCUGAGUAGUGGCGAGCGAAACGGGAGGAGCCCAAACCAACGAGCUUGCUUGUUGGGGUUGUAGGACUAGAACGUGAGAAGACAUCAAGAUAGCAGAAGUGGUCUGGAAAGGCCCAUCAAAGAAGGUGACAAUCCUGUACGCGACAUCUUGACGA